This 318-nucleotide unclassified non-coding RNA is filed under the name uncultured fungus. RNAcentral describes it as "sequence contains 5.8S rRNA gene". The record is from RNAcentral. Lineage: Eukaryota; Fungi.
GAACGCACCUUGCGCCCUUUGGCCAUUCCGAAGGGCAUGCCUGUUUGAGUAUCAUGAACACCUCAACUCUCAUGGCUUGCCAUGAUGAGCUUGGACUUUGGGGGUCUUGUCGGCCUGCGGUCGGCUCCUCUCAAAUGGAUCAGCUUACCAGUGUUUGGUGGCGUCACAGGUGUGAUAACUAUCUACGCUUGUGGCUUUCCAUCAGGUAACCUUCAGCGAUGGAGGUUUGCUGGGGGCUCAUAAAUGUCUCUCCUCAGCGAGGACAGCUUUUUUGAACGUUUGAUCUCAAAUCAGGUAGGACUACCCGCUGAACUUAAG